GAUAAACGCUAGCGGUGUGCCUUAUGCAUGCAAGUCGAACGGUCCUGAUUUAUCAGGAUAGUGGCGAAUGGGUGAGUAACGCGUAAGUAACCUGCCCCUAAGUAGGGGAUAACUCUGAGAAAUCGGAGCUAAUACUGUGGUGGUGGUGGAGGUAAUGCUUCAUCACUAAAGCCUUAGGGCGCUUAGGGAGGGACUUGCGUCCGAUUAGCUAGUUGGUAGGGUAAUGGCUUACCAAGGCGACGAUCGGUAGCUGGUUUGAGAGGACGGUCAGCCACACUGGGACUGAGACACGGCCCAGACUCCUACGGGAGGCAGCAGCAAGGAAUAUUGUGCAAUGGGCGAAAGCCUGACACAGCGACGCCGCGUGGGGGAUGAAGGCUUUCGGGUUGUAAACCCCUUUUCUCAGGGAAGAAUAAUGACGGUACCUGAGGAAUAAGUCUCGGCUAACUACGUGCCAGCAGCCGCGGUAAUACGUAGGAGGCGAGCGUUAUCCGGAUUUACUGGGCGUAAAGAGGGCGUAGGUUGCUUUUUAAGUCGGAUAUGAAAUCUCCCGGCUUAACUGGGAGGGGUUAUCCGAUACUAUUGGGCUAGAGGGCAGCAGAGGGAGGUGGAAUUCCCGGUGUAGUGGUGAAAUGCGUAGAUAUCGGGAGGAACACCAGUGGCGAAGGCGGCCUCCUGGGCUGUUGCUGACGCUGAGGCCCGAAAGCGUGGGGAGCGAACAGGAUUAGAUACCCUGGUAGUCCACGCUGUAAACUAUGGACACUAGGUAUAGGGAGUAUCGACCCUCUCUGUGCCGAAGCUAACGCAUUAAGUGUCCCGCCUGGGGACACGGUCGCAAGACU
Molecule: ribosomal RNA, 842 nt
Filed under: uncultured Chloroflexota bacterium
Lineage: Bacteria; Bacillati; Chloroflexota
Description: bacterial SSU rRNA
Rfam family: Bacterial small subunit ribosomal RNA
Source: RNAcentral